AACAACGCCCUGAGAGAAACAAAUUAUGAAUCUUAGAACAGCUGCAAGAGGCUUUGUAGCUUUCCUUCUGUCAUUACCAGCAUUACAGGGUAAUGAUGACUGGGCAUUUACUUACUCAUCUAGUAAUAUCUGCGCUUUGAGAGGAUCAACAUUUGAAAUCCGCUGCAAUUAUAAAUACCCUUACAGAACUACAGUGGAGAAAAAACUCUGGUUUACUACUAAACACAAUGAGCCAGUUGAUCUGAGAGAUGAUACAGACUACACAGGUCGUGUUGAAUACAGCUGUUUUAGGCACAGCUGUACCUGGAGCAGCUGUACUGGAACGUGUAAACUGAUAAUCAAAGACCUGAGACAGAGUGACUCUGCUGAAUACAAGUUUAGGAUUACAACAAACAAUGGAGGGGCAUUAAGUGAUCUCCCUGGAGUGAAGUUAUCUGUGACAGAUCACUGGACGGAAGUGAUCAUUCUUCCUAGGCCUACCAGUCAGAACUGGUUAGAGCUGGAAUGCCACAGAAUGUGUCAUUUAACUGGGUAUCGUACGUACAGUAUGUACAGUAACUGGUACAGGAAUGAAAUUCAACAAUGACGUCAACGAUUGUCCUACCGGUUCUACAUUAACUCUGAAUACAGGGUUUCAUGUGCUGCUACAGGUUUCAAACAUCUCCCCUCUCCAUCAGUGUACGCUCCAGAGGCCCCCUUAGUGGGAGUGACUCCCCCUGGUGUAAUAAAGGAGGGCAGUUCAGUGAAUCUGACCUGCACCAGCGAGGCCAACCCAGUAGCAAAGUACACCUGGUCCAAGGUUACUACAGG
Molecule: long non-coding RNA, 810 nt
Organism: Gadus morhua (Atlantic cod)
Lineage: Eukaryota; Metazoa; Chordata; Actinopteri; Gadiformes; Gadidae
Exons: 4
Source: RefSeq, a predicted model, not a curated record